RNAcentral lists this ribosomal RNA (460 nucleotides) under uncultured bacterium. RNAcentral describes it as "partial 16S ribosomal RNA". It matches the Rfam family "Bacterial small subunit ribosomal RNA", at positions 338 to 795 of the family's 1533-position model. The record is from RNAcentral.
CCUACGGGUGGCAGCAGUGAGGAAUAUUGGUCAAUGGCCGGAAGGCUGAACCAGCCAUGCCGCGUGAAGGUCAGUGCCCUAUGGGCUUUAAACUUCUUUUGUGCGGGAGCAAUAAUGGUCACGUGUGGCCAGACGAGAGUACCGUACGAAUAAGCAUCGGCUAACUCAGUGCCAGCAGCCGCGGUAAUACGGGGGAUGCAAGCGUUAUCAGGAUUUAUUGGGUUUAAAGGGUGCGUAGGCUGUGAGGUAAGUCAGCGGUGAAAUGCCCCCGGUCAACGGGGUGAAGUGCGAUUGAUACUGCAUUGCUGGAAUGCUGAUGCGGCGGGAGGAAUGUGUGGUGUAGCGGUGAAAUGCAUAGAUAUCACACAGAACACCGAUUGCGAAGGCAUCUCACGAAUCCGCGAUUGACGCUGAUGCACGAAAGCGUGGGUAUCAAACAGGAUUAGAUACCCGGGUAGUC